GAGCCAUAAGACUUAUUAUCCUUAGUGAUGGGUUUCAUUUCUGGAACCAGCCCCCCAUUUGUGUUACGAAGUCUUACACUGGUACUAUUUUGGAAUGGAUCUGCUAAAAAUACUGUGCACAAGAGAAGAGAGAAACCUGGGGCCUGAGGGCUUUCUGAAACGGAACAAGCUGAGAGUGUGCUCCUCCUCUGGAGUUCUGGGUAUGUAGAAUAUUUUCCUUCUAAAGCUAUAUAUAUAUUUCCAGAGUAUGUUCAAAGUAUGCUUUCCAUCUCUAACCAGAAAGCUUUCUGCAGCGACAUUCUAAUUGUAAUUAUUUCACAGUUAGUAGUUGCAAUUUAAAAUAACAGGCUAAGGAAGAAAGACAACUGUAAUGUGAUAAUUCUCAUUACAGGGUCAUUAACCUUUGAUUUUGACAUUGCUUUUGAAAAAAUAAAUAUUACUUUGUCUUUUCA
RNAcentral lists this long non-coding RNA (452 nucleotides) under Phasianus colchicus (ring-necked pheasant). RNAcentral's name for it is "lncRNA (ENSPCLG00000010488.1)". Lineage: Eukaryota; Metazoa; Chordata; Aves; Galliformes; Phasianidae. The record is from RNAcentral.